This 492-nucleotide ribosomal RNA is filed under the name uncultured bacterium. RNAcentral describes it as "partial 16S ribosomal RNA". It matches the Rfam family "Bacterial small subunit ribosomal RNA", at positions 29 to 507 of the family's 1533-position model. The record is from RNAcentral.
AGUGAACGCUGGCGGUAGGCCUAACACAUGCAAGUCGAACGGCAGCACAGUAAGAGCUUGCUCUUACGGGUGGCGAGUGGCGGACGGGUGAGGAAUACAUCGGAAUCUACUUUUUCGUGGGGGAUAACGUAGGGAAACUUACGCUAAUACCGCAUACGACCUACGGGUGAAAGCAGGGGAUCUUCGGACCUUGCGCGAUUGAAUGAGCCGAUGUCGGAUUAGCUAGUUGGCGGGGUAAAGGCCCACCAAGGCGACGAUCCGUAGCUGGUCUGAGAGGAUGAUCAGCCGCACUGGAACUGAGACACGGUCCAGACUCCUACGGGAGGCAGCAGUGGGGAAUAUUGGACAAUGGGCGGAAGCCUGAUCCAGCCAUACCGCGUGGGUGAAGAAGGCCUUCGGGUUGUAAAGCCCUUUUGUUGGGAAAGAAAAGCAGCAGGUUAAUACCCCGCUGUUCUGACGGUACCCAAAGAAUAAGCACCGGCUAACUUCGUG